UUCUAAGGGCGUUGAAGCAUGAUCGCAAGGACAUGUGGAGCGCUUAGAAGUGAGAAUGCCGGUGUGAGUAGCGAAAGACGGGUGAGAAUCCCGUCCACCGAUUGACUAAGGUUUCCAGAGGAAGGCUCGUCCGCUCUGGGUUAGUCGGGUCCUAAGCUGAGGCCGACAGGCGUAGGCGAUGGAUAACAGGUUGAUAUUCCUGUACCACCAUUAUUCGUUUUAAGCGAUGGGGGGACGCAGUAGGAUAGGCGAAGCGUGCUGUUGGAGUGCACGUCCAAGCAGUGAGAUUGAGUGUUAGGCAAAUCCGGCACUCUUAAGAUUGAGCUGUGAUGGGGAGAGGAACUUGUUCCUCGAGUCGUUGAUUUCACACUGCCGAGAAAAGCCUCUAGCUAGAAUAACGGUGCCCGUACCGCAAACCGACACAGGUAGUCAAGAUGAGAAUUCUAAGGUGAGCGAGCGAACUCUCGUUAAGGAACUCGGCAAAAUGACCCCGUAACUUCGGGAGAAGGGGUGCUCUUUGAGGUUCACGCUUCGAAGAGCCGCAGUGAAUAGGCCCAAGCGA
This 562-nucleotide ribosomal RNA is filed under the name Staphylococcus pseudintermedius. RNAcentral's name for it is "partial 23S ribosomal RNA". It matches the Rfam family "Bacterial large subunit ribosomal RNA", at positions 1239 to 1799 of the family's 2925-position model. Lineage: Bacteria; Bacillati; Bacillota; Bacilli; Caryophanales; Staphylococcaceae. The record is from RNAcentral.